CCUACGGGUGACAGCAGUGGGGAAUAUUGGACAAUGGGGGGAACCCUGAUCCAGGGACGCCGCGUGAGUGAAGAAGGAUUUCGGUAUGUAAAGCUCUAUCAGCAGGGAAGAAAAUGACGGUACCUGACUAAGAAGCCCCGGCUAACUACGUGCCAGCAGCCGCGGUAAUACGUAGGGGGCAAGCGUUAUCCGGAUUUACUGGGUGUAAAGGGAGCGGAGACGGUGCAGCAAGUCUGAUGUGAAAGGUCGGGGCCCAACCCCGGGACUGCCUUGGAAACUGUUGAACUGGAGUACAGGAGAGGUAAGCGCAAUUCCUCGUGUAGCGGUGACAUGCGUAGAUAUUAGGCGGAACACCAGUGGCGCAGGCGGCUUACUGGACUGUACCUGCCGUUGAGGCUCGAAAGCGUGGGGAGCAAACAGGAUUAGAUACCCCUGUAGUC
This 440-nucleotide ribosomal RNA is filed under the name uncultured bacterium. RNAcentral's name for it is "partial 16S ribosomal RNA". It matches the Rfam family "Bacterial small subunit ribosomal RNA", at positions 338 to 795 of the family's 1533-position model. The record is from RNAcentral.